CUGGCUCAGGAUGAACGCUGGCGGCGUGCCUAACACAUGCAAGUCGAACGGAUUUUGCUCGCAGCAGAGACUUCGGUCGAAGCUUGAGUAAAGUUAGUGGCGGACGGGUGAGUAACGCGUGGGCAACCUGCCUCAUACUGGGGGAUAACAGUUGGAA
This 157-nucleotide ribosomal RNA is filed under the name Butyrivibrio sp. YAB3001. RNAcentral describes it as "16S rRNA. Bacterial SSU". It matches the Rfam family "Bacterial small subunit ribosomal RNA", at positions 19 to 155 of the family's 1533-position model. The record is from RNAcentral. Lineage: Bacteria; Bacillati; Bacillota; Clostridia; Lachnospirales; Lachnospiraceae.